UGAUGGUUAAUCUAAAUAAGACUACUGAUUUCGACUCAGUAAAUCUCAGAAUGCUCUGAGACCACCAA
RNAcentral lists this transfer RNA (68 nucleotides) under Phelsuma guimbeaui. RNAcentral describes it as "tRNA-Arg". The record is from RNAcentral. Lineage: Eukaryota; Metazoa; Chordata; Lepidosauria; Squamata; Gekkonidae.